CUGGCACUGGCGAGCCAUGGCUGGGAUUGUCUAUUUCACCCUCUUCUCGCUCCUCUGGGGGAUCUGCGGCGCUGUCACCGGCUCUCGAGUGUAUCCGGCUAAUGAAGUUACCCUAUUGGAUUCCAGAUCAGUUCAGGGGGAACUUGGGUGGAUAGCAAGUCCUUUGGAAGGAGGGUGGGAGGAAGUAAGCAUUAUGGAUGAGAAAAACACUCCAAUCCGCACCUAUCAAGUCUGCAAUGUGAUGGAGCCGAGUCAGAACAACUGGUUACGAACUGACUGGAUUCCCCGUGAGGGGGCUCAGAGAGUAUAUAUUGAAAUUAAAUUCACAUUGAGAGACUGCAACAGUCUGCCAGGUGUCAUGGGAACUUGCAAAGAAACUUUUAACCUUUACUACUAUGAAUCAAACAAUGAUAAGGAGCGUUAUAUCCGUGAGAGCCAGUUUGCCAAGAUCGACACCAUUGCUGCUGAUGAGAGCUUCACUCAGGUGGACAUCGGUGACAGGAUCAUGAAGCUGAACACAGAGAUACGUGAUGUGGGCCCAUUGAGCAAGAAGGGGUUUUACCUGGCUUUUCAGGAUGUAGGUGCCUGCAUCGCCUUGGUGUCUGUCCGUGUUUUCUACAAGAAGUGCCCAUUGACGGUACGCAACCUGGCUCAGUUUCCAGACACCAUUACUGGGGCUGAUACGUCCUCUCUAGUGGAAGUUCGAGGCUCCUGUGUGAACAACUCAGAAGAGAAGGAUGUGCCAAAAAUGUACUGUGGGGCAGAUGGCGAAUGGCUGGUACCCAUUGGCAACUGUCUGUGCAAUGCUGGCUAUGAUGAGCACAAUGGAGAAUGCCAAGCUUGCAAAAUAGGAUACUACAAGGCUCUCUCCACAGAUGUUUCCUGUGCCAAAUGCCCAUCCCACAGCUACUCCAUCUGGGAAGGCUCUACCUCCUGCACCUGUGAUCGGGGCUUUUUCCGAGCCGAAAAUGAUGCUGCCUCCAUGCCCUGCACUCGCCCUCCGUCCGCUCCCCUGAACCUGAUUUCCAAUGUCAAUGAGACAUCAGUGAACUUGGAGUGGAGCGCCCCUCAGAACAGUGGUGGGCGCGACGACAUCUCCUACAACGUGGUGUGCAAGAGAUGUGGAGCUGGCGACCCCAACCGCUGUCGGUCAUGUGGCAGCGGUGUGCACUUCAGCCCCCAGCAGAACGGCUUGAAAACCACCAAGGUCUCUAUUACUGACCUUCUGGCCCACGCUAACUACACCUUUGAAAUCUGGGCAGUGAACGGGGUGUCCAAGCAAAACCCCAGCCAGGACCAGGCUGUCUCAGUCACUGUGACGACUAACCAAGCAGCUCCGUCUCCAAUUGCUUUGAUCCAGGCUAAAGAAAUAACAAGGCACAGCGUUGCAUUGGCCUGGCUGGAACCUGACAGGCCGAAUGGAGUCAUCUUGGAAUAUGAAGUCAAAUAUUAUGAGAAGGACCAAAAUGAGCGCAGCUAUCGCAUUGUGAAGACAGCUGUCAGGAACACAGAUAUCAAAGGCCUGAACCCGUUGACUUCAUACGUGUUUCAUGUGCGAGCCAGGACAGCAGCGGGAUAUGGGGACUUCAGUGGGCCGUUUGAGUUCACGACUAACACAGUUCCUUCCCCCAUCAUUGGUGAUGGUACCAAUCCCACAGUGCUUCUUGUCUCAGUGGCUGGCAGUGUUGUUCUUGUGGUCAUUCUCAUUGCUGCUUUUGUCAUCAGCAGGAGACGCAGUAAGUACAGUAAGGCUAAGCAAGAGGCAGAUGAGGAGAAACAUUUGAAUCAAGGUGUGAGAACAUAUGUGGAUCCUUUUACAUAUGAGGAUCCAAACCAAGCUGUGCGGGAAUUUGCCAAAGAAAUCGAUGCCUCCUGUAUAAAGAUUGAAAAAGUCAUAGGUGUGGGUGAAUUUGGUGAAGUGUGCAGUGGACGUCUCAAAGUACCAGGAAAGAGAGAGAUCUGUGUUGCUAUCAAGACUCUGAAAGCUGGGUACACUGACAAACAGAGGAGGGACUUUUUAAGUGAAGCCAGCAUCAUGGGACAAUUUGACCAUCCCAACAUCAUCCAUUUGGAAGGCGUAGUUACCAAAUGUAAACCGGUAAUGAUCAUAACUGAGUACAUGGAGAAUGGCUCCUUGGAUGCCUUCCUCAGGAAAAAUGAUGGCAGAUUUACAGUAAUUCAGUUGGUGGGAAUGCUUCGUGGCAUUGGCUCUGGAAUGAAGUAUCUGUCUGACAUGAGCUAUGUGCAUCGGGAUCUAGCUGCCCGAAAUAUAUUAGUCAACAGCAACUUGGUCUGCAAGGUGUCUGACUUUGGCAUGUCCCGUGUCCUGGAAGAUGAUCCUGAAGCAGCCUAUACUACUAGGGGUGGCAAAAUUCCUAUCAGGUGGACUGCACCAGAAGCAAUUGCUUAUCGUAAAUUUACAUCAGCUAGUGAUGUGUGGAGCUAUGGCAUUGUAAUGUGGGAAGUGAUGUCCUAUGGAGAGAGACCUUACUGGGAUAUGUCCAAUCAAGAUGUUAUUAAAGCCAUUGAGGAAGGGUAUCGCCUGCCACCCCCAAUGGACUGCCCCAUCGCUCUCCAUCAGCUGAUGCUGGACUGCUGGCAGAAGGAACGCAGCGACAGGCCUAAAUUUGGACAGAUUGUCAACAUGCUGGACAAACUCAUCCGCAACCCCAACAGCUUGAAGAGGACAGGCACCGAGAACUCCAGGCCAAACACUGCCCUGUUGGAUCCGAGUUCUCCGGAAUUCUCAGCCGUCGUUUCUGUUGGGGAUUGGCUUCAGGCCAUUAAAAUGGAUCGAUAUAAGGAUAACUUCACAGCUGCUGGCUAUACAACCCUAGAGGCUGUGGUACAUAUGAACCAGGAUGAUCUGACGAGAAUUGGGAUUACCACCGUUGCGCACCAGAACAAGAUUUUGAGCAGCGUCCAGGCAAUGCGGACCCAAAUGCAACAGAUGCACGGCAGAAUGGUUCCCGUCUGAGCCAAUACUGAAUAAACUCAAACUCUUGAAAUUAGUUUACCUCAUCCAUGCACUUUAAUUGAAGAACUGCACUUUUUUAACUUCGUCUCCUUGCCCUUUGAAAUAAAGACCUGCAGCAUUGCUUGAUGUACAGAUUGCUGGAACUGUGGGGAGCGGGUCCUACCAAAAUGACAAGCCGUCAUUUUAAACCAGACCUGGAACAAAUUGUUUCUUGGAAUAAUCUUCUGUUGAUCAACGAUAUGUAAAAUACAUGUAUCUAUAUAAAUAUAACGUCACAUUCAAGUUUUGAUGCUGUGUUUGCUGCCAGAUACUGUGCUUAAAAAAUAAUUAUUCUUCCUUCCCCCAAUGACCUGGGGGUUACAACCACAGUAUUUUAUUUGUGGGAUAAACCGUGGUUGUGCAUCUUUCACUGGAACGAAGAAUCUACCCCAGGAUAUUUUCUGCAGACUCAGCGUGUCACUGAUACCGUGCAGAAACCUCAAUGAGAAUAUUGUUUGGCUGAUCAGUGCCUCUCAAUUAGUGAUUUACCCAUUUACAGGGUGAGAUCGGGAAUGACCCACCUUGAGGAUUACUGGACUUCUGGGGGGAUUUGUUAUUGGCUGUUGUUGUGCCAUACUGAGUUGUAAAUCUGUAAAUCUUUUGCAAACAUCUUACUGACAGUCAGCUGUGACAAUCUUGACUGUGAAACUUCCAGACUCACAUCCCUUUCCCCUUUGAAGGAGCAAUCACUCUUGCAACACUGAAAAGGGAAAAUAGAUUCUGCUUCCUUGGCCUCACAGCCUUUCCUAUUGAUCAUAUUGACCGUGGGAGAACAAAAGACCAGACAUGAAGCCUUCCAGAUUCCACAAGCCCUGCUUCACCAGCACUGAUUCUGGGGAACACAGACACUCAAUAAGUGGAAUCAGUCCCUGAAGAGUGGGGACUUUUAAUUUCCCUUUUUGCAUUGAAACAAAACAAAAAGACUCUAAGGUUCAAUAUCUGUUCUCCAGUUGUCAUUUGAAGAAUGUACUGUAUCAAAGCCCUUCAGACUUCUGGGACUUCCCCCCCCUUCUUCCUUCUUACGGUUUUAUUUAUAUAUUUUGAUUCCCUCUUUCCCCCGCACCGUACCCUCUGCAUGUCACUGCUGCAUCUUGUUUGAGUGCAAGUGACAGAGCACUACAGGUAUUACCAUGGACAUCCAGUCAGAUGCCGCGACACAGAACCCAGUUCACGUGAGCUGCCUAUAUACAUUGCUGAAGUGACAUUUUACACAAAAUGUGCCAUUGCAGUGAUAUAAAUAUAUAUAUAUAUUUUUUUUUCUUAGAAUGGGUAACAGACUUCUUAUCUCUUCCAAAUGUACGUGUGUGUGUUUGCGUGCGUCUGCAUCACUGCAUGUGUAGAACUGCCUGUGAAUGUGCCGAAAGUAUCUCUGGAAGCUCUGGAUUCCAUCCAUUGCUAGUCGAAGAGUUACAUGAGAAAGCAGGCCAGUAGAUGAUGUCUGCAACAGUAGCAAGAAAACACACACACACAAAAAGUUUAAAUUUCUGUAUCUGUAAAUGUAUUUUAUAGCUGCCACACUAACCUUAAUGACUGGUUCUGCAGCCUAGAACAGGGACACUUUCACUUAAGUUGUGGAGUGAUGAAUAAUAAGAUCCAUAACGGUGAUAAAGCUUUCCAUCAAUAUCACUUAUUCUUAUCAAGACCUGUUCAUGAUCAAAAACACCAGUUUCUUGAUGAAAAGUUGACAGGCGACAAUGCCUGUAUCCGUCCACUGGUAACCCUGAACUGAACUCUUACGUAGCCUUUUUUAUCUGCAAAAAUAAGAUUUUAAAGACUUGUUGAAUGCAAACAAAUAUAUGCAAUUUUUAUCCAUUCACAGAAGCACAUUGCUCAGUGUGCCAGCUGUGAGAACCGUGUGUCCUGUAGCUGACAGUCAAAUACUUCAUUUUCUCCCAGCAACAGUUAAGGAAAUUAAAUCACAAGAGACAUUUAUGAUUAUGGCUGUUAACAAAAGGGUUUCAAAAGUUUGUCAUGUUCCUAGUCUCCAUAGCCAAAGGAUAGGUGAAACAAGGUAAUUUCUGUGGCCCAAAGACCAGUGCUAACAACCUACCGGUACUAUCUAGAAAAGUUUACUGAGUGUGGAGCGUUCACUGUUUAUUUACUGUAAACUAUCCUUGGAGUGUAGCUGUAUGCUAGAGUCUGGUGAAUGUGCUGCCAUUCCACAUUUUGAAUUUAGCGACAGAUUUGCUCCACCUUUUUUCUGGUUGCAGAGGACUGAUGUCUACUGAGGUAGCACAAUACAGCACAGCAAGCUAUAGCAGGACAAGCAAUCAGUCAAACAUACAUUGGAAAAACCAAGACAAAAUAUGGAUGUUGCCAUGUUAAAAGAGCAUGCCACAUUGAAUGGAGCCAUAAAGAAAUGUCUCAGAGUUACUUCUAUUUCCUCCUUCUCUCCUGGCCCCUUUAUUUUCAUUAUUAAAAUAAUGUUACGUGCUCUCAUGAACCAUAAAUUAAAGAUCAAUAUAGCUGAGAUGCGGGGGAAGCUCAUGUAGUUGUGCUGAAGGCAGAAACCAUACAACACUAUCAAGGAGUCAGGGAGCGGAAGUGUGCAUUGCAAACCCAGCACAUUCAAAUUGCAGUUAAAUGUUUUAAACAGAGCUUGGGUUAAAAAGUAAACAAGUUACUACAGACUUUGCUUCCAUCUUUUCCCCCUUACAGAAGACGUCAUCAACAGAUCUCUCUAGCAUGGUAAGCCUUUGGUAGAAAUUGUUCUGCUCACCACACCACCAGUUGAUGUUCGUCCAGGUUUCUUGCUGUACUAACUUUGUGAUGGAUCUGUGUAUUUAAAAAUGUAUUAAAAAAAAAAAAGGCUGGUACUUAACCAGUAAACAGGACUUAAAAAGCAGUAUUUUUCUUUUAUGUGACAUUUUCAUAACCAGAAAAAAAAAUCCUGAAUACUAAUCAAAGAAAUAAAGAGAGUGCAUUUAUUUUUUUGUAUCACUGCAAGUAUGUUGGAAUAUGCAAGGACUGUGGUUAAAAGUAGAAUGUAUGAGGCAUAUUAUAAUUUAGUUCAUACUGAGAAAAAGAUUCUAACAGCAUUUUUUGGUUCAUGAAUUUGAACAGUCUCUGGGUUAGACAUAGAUUUUCUAUUUUAAUUUGUAAUUCCCCCACACACCCCCUCCAUGAAUUUUAGGUACACAUAACUUAUGUCAUUUAUUUAUGGUCUUUUAUACCUAGUUUGUAAAAUUGUAAAAUAGCAAACAAUGCAAAAGUUUGCAUUUGAAAACAAUAAAGUAGUUGCUGUACAAACUUCAAA
RNA transcript from Malaclemys terrapin pileata, 6272 nucleotides. It is a transcript of the gene named EPH receptor A4, with no coding region annotated. The transcript is spliced from 18 exons. NCBI's taxonomy places the organism in Eukaryota, Metazoa, Chordata, Testudines, Emydidae. The record is from RefSeq and is a predicted model, not a curated record.